This 443-nucleotide ribosomal RNA is filed under the name uncultured bacterium. RNAcentral's name for it is "partial 16S ribosomal RNA". It matches the Rfam family "Bacterial small subunit ribosomal RNA", at positions 338 to 795 of the family's 1533-position model. The record is from RNAcentral.
CCUACGGGAGGCUGCAGUGGGGAAUAUUGGGCAAUGGGCGCAAGCCUGACCCAGCAACGCCGCGUGAAGGAAGAAGGCUUUCGGGUUGUAAACUUCUUUUCUGAGGGACGAAGAAAGUGACGGUACCCCAGGAAUAAGCUACGGCUAACUACGGGCCAGCAGCCGCGGUAAUACGUAGGUGGCAAGCGUUAUCCGGAUUUAUUGGGUGUAAAGGGCGUGUAGGCGGGAAUGUAAGUCAGAUGUGAAAACUCAGGGCUCAACCCUGAGCCUGCAGUUGAAACUGUUUUUCUUGAGUGCUGGAGAGGCAAUCGGAAUGCCGUGUGUAGCGGUGAAAUGCGUAGAUAUCCCGAGGAACACCGGUGGCGAAGGCAGAUUGCUGGACAGUAACUGACGCUGAGGCGCGAAAGCGUGGGGAGCGAACAGGAUUAGAUACCCGAGUAGUC